CACGUAGGGGGCAAGCGUUGUCCGGAUUUAUUGGGCGUAAAGAGCGUGUAGGCGGCUGGGUAGGUCCGCUGUGAAAACUCGAGGCUUAACCUCGAGACGUCGGUGGAAACCAUCCAGCUAGAGUCCGGAAGAGGAGAGUGGAAUUCCUGGUGUAGCGGUGAAAUGCGCAGAUAUCGGAAGGAACAUCAGUGGCGAAAGCGACUUCCUGGACCAAUACUGACGCUCAUGUGCGAAAGCGUGGGGAGCAAACAGG
RNAcentral lists this ribosomal RNA (253 nucleotides) under uncultured bacterium. Its description in RNAcentral is "partial 16S ribosomal RNA". It matches the Rfam family "Bacterial small subunit ribosomal RNA", at positions 524 to 776 of the family's 1533-position model. The record is from RNAcentral.